Molecule: long non-coding RNA, 8790 nt
Organism: Acinonyx jubatus (cheetah)
Lineage: Eukaryota; Metazoa; Chordata; Mammalia; Carnivora; Felidae
Exons: 3
Source: RefSeq, a predicted model, not a curated record
GCCACUGUCACAGAGAGAAAGUGUCAUUUACAUAUGAAUUUCCAUGAAAAAAUACAUCAGUUUAGCUUCUUAAGAUGCAGAUUCUAUUAUCCAAUUAUCUUCUCAGUUUUUCUCACAGAUAUUCUUAAGGAACUUAAACCCUACCAUAACUGGAAAAAUAUAUAAGCCAUCUAUUAGUAAGUAUACAAUUCUGCUCCCCUCCCCUCCCCCCAAAAAAAGAGAGAAAAAAGAGAAAAUAAGGUUUACAUUUUUAUGUUACAAAGGAAUUUCAGUUUUUCAUCAAUACGGAUAUUUACAUGAUAGCAUGGAAUCAGAAAAUAAAAAAUCAAGCCAAAGCAAAACAAGAAGAAAAGCCAAAUUAAUGUUAAAGGUAAAAAUUAUAAUACUAUUACAUAUGAAGUAGAAAAUAAAAUUGAUGGGCAGACAAAUGCUGAUUCUGCAGCAAAUACAAAGACUUCUAAAGGAUUCACUUCAAUUGAGCAUGUUAAUCAUGACAAUAAUAACAGCAUCAUCUGGAGGCAAAAUUCUAGGAAUCAGUAGUUAGAAGUAAGGACCUCAAAUCAACCAGACAUCAUCAUGAGGACCCUUUUCCCCUUCUACUAUUUUUAAUGAAGGAAUGAGUGAAAGAGGUGGUAAUCUCUCCGGGUAAAAAAUUCAGGGCACAAAGACUCUUAGCAUGAAAUGUUGGAAGUUCCUAGACACUUCCUACCCUUGCUCAUUUUGUCACCCUCAGUCUGUCCAUACUCACAAACGAUCAGACAAUGCUUAAGCACCUACCAAUUAACUUACAAAUUACUAUAGACUAGUGCUGUGAAUUAUAACUAUUAUUUGAGAUCUAUAGAUAUUAAUAAACAGGACUAAACCACAGAGUUAAAAAAAAAACUCAGCUUUCCAAAGGUAAUACAUUUUUUUAAAUGUCAAUACACUCAGAGUAAAUAUUAAAUGAAAAAGCAUAAUAAAAUACUCAUUUUUCUUACCCCAAGUUAAAUUUUAAGACAUAGGAAAUACACAUGUUACUUUGAUAACUAUGAUACCCAUCUGUGACAUAUAAUUUUUGUCAUAUAACAAACUAAAUAAUAAUAUUGUUUGACAAAACUACCAAAUUUAUGUUGUAGCAUAAAAGUGGUAGUUGAUGUAAUAAUGACAGUAUCCAUAAACAAAGGCAACUAAUCUACCUUAUAUGGGAGAUCUCAAUGUACUUCGUGACCUUGAUCUUUACAUUGUGAAAAAUCAACAGAGGAUUAAUUCUUAAGAACUCUCAGCAAAAUAGAACCCUUUGGUUUCCCAAACAGCAUGUAUAAAAGUGGUAAUGGGGUAUCAUAUCGCUAAUGUCCAGGAGGCAGCUCUCUCUACCUCUCUCUUAGCUCACUCUCUUGUUAGAACUUGGCAUGGUUGGAAUUCACCACAACAUUAUUAUCUUUCUUCCUGGUAUUCCCAGGAAAAAAAGUAAACUUUUCUUCCCCAUUCUGUCUCUCUUGACCAUGACAAAUUCAAUUUGGAUAAACCAUUGUCUUGUCUUUACUUUAUCUGAUACUGUUAUCAUCGAUUGUGGCAGCAAGAAGGAGGAUGCAGAUAUGGUUGAAGUUGAUGGGAAAUGGAAGCACUAUUUACUGCUUUAUUUAACCCACUCAGUCAGGAUUUUAAUCACCAUAGUAUAGAAUACCAGCAGUGCACAUGGCACUUUAAUAUAUGCUGAAUAAUUAGAGGUAUCUGCCUUAUUAUUUGCUUAAUAUGGCCACUUCAUAGUAUUCAACUGACUUAAUGCGACAACUAAACUUGUAGGUUUUUGUUUCUUGUCAAUACCACAGAUUCCACCUUUCCGCCCUGUUAAGGUUAGGAAUUAUAAACCAAGAAAUUAAGCAACUAUGAAAACCAGAGAAGAAAAGUGGAUUUGAAGUCUGGAAAUCUGGUUUUGUGUGUAGACUCAAAAAACGUUAGUCAUUUACUAUCUUCAAACCCUAGGCAAAUAACUGCAUUGUAAACUACCAUUCUUCUUUUUUAUAAAUGUUUUACAGGCUUGUUGUGAAGACCACAUUAACUAAUGUAAAAGCAAAUAUAAGUAUAGAGCACUACUGCUAUAGCUAUCUGAAAGGAAAUGAUAUAUACAUGAAUAUUUUUUGAAAUGUGCUACCAGGAGAAACUUCCAUAACCUUCUCCAACCAAUACUGAAGACUAUUGGAUUAGGCUAGCCACCCAUCAAACAAUUUGGGUUCUACUAACUGUCAAACAUAUUUUGAGAAAGAAUUCCUUUACACUUCCGCGAAUACACUAUAAACAGAUCCGUGGCAGCAAUUACUUCGAUAAUGCUUACAUCCUUGGAAAGAGAAAAAGAUGAAGGUUUUUAGGCGCUACUACCUGCCUCCUCUCCACCAUUCAAAAGGAUGUCCUCUGUCUCUUGAACUAGCCCUAGGCAGAUGUGUUUAAUUACAAAAUGAUUCAAGUCUUAUCAAUCUUUCAAGGCUAAAAAACUGUCACUGAAAAUUCAGUCAAAAGGUUUUUGUUCUGUUAUUAAAACUACACUACAUAUACGUGUAUAUACACAUUGGCUAUUUGCUAUCCCUUAUCAUCUAUCCUAGACCAUUUAGUUGAAGUGAAUAGUGAAAUAGAGAUGCUGCAACUUAUAAACCAUUACAAAAUUUGUAUAAUGUUCUGUAUAUAUAAUAUAUUGGUUUCGCAGAAACUUCAUUAGUGAAUAAAAGCAUGAUACAAUUAAUUAAACAUAUUCUAUACGCUAUUGAGUCCAUACUGUAUUCAAAGAAAAAGAGAAAAUAAGUAUUUUCUCUUCUACUCCAACUCUACUCUUAAAAAGUUACAAAAUUAUUUCAUAAAUCAUGAACUAAAUAUAGCUGAGUGGAUUAAGGUGUCUUAAGUGAAUGGCCUUGAAUUGCCACUGUUUAACUCAUACCAAGAACAAAGUGAUUAAAGUCUAAUAUUUCAGGGGUAAAUAAUGAUCACCAAAAAUUGAGCCAAAAGAUUUUUGUUCCAUUACUAAAACCACAUUAUAAAAGAAAUCAGUGUUCAGUGUUCAAUACCAGAUCCUUGUCACAAGAAAUCAGAACUAAAUUCAGGAAGCAUGAUAAGGCUAGUAUUUUACAAAUGACAGAAAGCCAAAUUUUCUGUAACCCAAUAAAGGCACUGAAGUAUAUAUACAGCACAGUAAGAUAUAAUUAAGUUUGGCAAUGCCUAAUCAUGGCUUCAUUUCUAAGUUUGAUGUGUUAAUGUUUUAGUCUCAGAACUGCACUUUCUAAUUCAAAGUGCAUUUAAAGAACAAAGGUUUUGCUGCUAGUUUAAGGAAGUCAAUCUUACAUGAUGGUCAAUUAUUCUUGCCAAUUCUUCAUCAGCUCUGGUGAAGAAAUCCGGAUAAGAAAACAUGGGAAGUUCUGAUAAAGAAGGAUGUUCCCUUCAAAAGAGCACAAGAACAAUAUUAGGUAUAGAUAGUUCUCCUUCCAGGAAUAUAUGGAUUUUCAAGUCAUAAUUCAUUACACAGCAUUUUGACUCUACAUUGUUAACAUCAAGUACUUAUUCUUUGUAGACUACUAUCUAUAGCUUUUAGUUUCUAUAAAUAAUGUUGGGUUACCUAAACUGACAUUUUAGAAGGUAGAGAAUGAUAUAUAGUAUCAGAACUAGAAAAUAAUAAAAAGGUAAUCUUUGGGAUGCUUGGGUACUCAUUCAUACUUUUGGCUUUGGCUAAGGUCACAAUUUCAUAGUUCAUGAGUUCAAACCCCACACAGUGUGGAGCCUGCUUGGGAUUCUCUCUUUCCCUCUCUCUCUGCCCCUUCCCAGCUCAUGCUUGCAUUCAUUCAUUCUCUCUCUCUCUCUCUCUCUCUCUCUCUCUCUCUCACCCCCCCACCCCCAAAAUAAAUUUUUUAAAAAAGUUAUCUUCUCCUAGGAGGUAUAUUCAGUAGCACAGGAGAUGAUAGGAAAUGAAGGGUUUAAGGAAGCAUGACAUAAAUUUUGUCCAAUGGGGAGAUUAAAGUUCCCAUAGCCAUACAUAACCCCAUGACCCUGGAAAGUCUGGUGAAAGUCUAAGCCUAAGAAUUUGAUCUAAGAUAUACUAAAAAAAAAGCAAAAAAUGCUGUGAUUUCAGUACUUCUCCAAGGUCUUUGUAGUACUAAGGGUGCAACUAUGGCAAACAGUUUACAAACAGUUCAAUAGAAAUGUUGGCAGUGCAAACCUAGGCUCUAAACUAGUGGAGACUUAGUGUUAAAUUGUCCACAUAAUAGUUGCAUUAUGUUACAAUUAUUAUGAAGAAAUUGUUGUGAAUCCAGAAAUACGUAAAGCAACAAAAUGGUUGUAGAGAAUAUGGUUUUAGAGGAGAGAAAGUGGGUUUAAGGAAAAGCUCUUAGGCAAGAAGCUAAGGAGAGACAUAGCCCAUGAACAUUUUCCAUAUUCAGAAAAGUCUGAUCACUUUUUAAGACAGCAAUGUCUAGUGUAAUUUUUGCAAUUUCCUGUCUAUCCAGCAAAUUUUAGUGAGCUUUGUACAUUUGACAUCCUAUGUUUCCCUCAUAUCACUAGGUCCUCUUGCUUUAUGCGGCACUAAAUGCUUCUGAAAUCUUUCCAUUUAUCUACAUUUCCACCAUCAUUUCCUUGGUCUGAACCAUCAUCUUUCACCUGGACCAACACUUCCUUUUUUGAAUCCCUGCAUCCACCACGCCUCACCCUUUUUAGUCUCAUCUGUAUACAGUAGCCAGAACUUUUUUCAAAAUACAAAGGGAAUCAUGUCAAUUCCCUACUUCAAACUGUUUAAGAACUCCCACUUAACUUUAGGAUUUAGAUCACAUUUAUUGUCAAGAAAGCCUGAAGUAGACUGUGCACUUGGCAAAGUGGCUUUGCAUGUUUUUUCCAGACUCACUUCUCUUCUUGGCCUGCAUCUGUAUGUUUCUAGCACAUGGACAUUUUUGUAGUUGCUGCAGUGUAUCCUGCCCCACCCUACUAUGGUUUCCAUGUGCUGUCACCCUUUCUCCAGUGCCUUUCUCUCCUGCUGCUCUCUGCCACAGGCUGGCUAACGUACACUUACCCUUCCACUCUCUGUGCAAGCCCACUACCAUAGCCCUCAGUCCAUCAGGGGCCUUUCCUUCAUCAUACUUACCUCCAUUGUAAUUUUACAUUCAUUUGUGUGCCUGACUGAGUUUUGUUUUCCUGAGUAGAGUAUGGGCAACAUGAAUGUGAGGACUUCAUUUGUUUAUUAUUGGUCUCCCCAGUGCCUACCACAGUGCCACCAGACACUCAAUGAAUGCUAGUAUGUUUGGUGAAUUCUUGAAUGAAUAAAUUAAAGCUGGGAUAUGCUUUAAUCCCCUUUACAGUCCAAGCCAUCAGUAAGCGUCUCCCAGAUAGCACUCUUACAUCAGUGGAACAGUACCCAGGACAGCAAGAGGAUUGCAAUCCCAGGAGACAAGUCACAGAAUGAAACUGAUAGCAGGAGUUCAAAGGAAAACAACUCAAGUGGUAGGUGAGCAGAGAACAUAUAUGGACUCCUCCCCCAACUUGCAAGACUCAGAAGUAUUAUGGGGCAGAAGAGCAAUGGGCUUCCCACCACAUGUCCAAUAGGGGCUUGAGCCAUUCUAUUAAAAUAUUAAAGAAAAAUAUGAUCCUAGAAUGCUGAGGAAUUUGGGGACAUAUAGGGGCAGAUCCUUGGGUUAACUGUAUUCAUUCAGUAAAAUUUGGGCAUUUCUGAUAUUCAAAGAAUUGUGCUAAAUUCUGUGAAAAGAUAAAUAAGACAGAACUUUUAAAUUAUUUAAAGGUUGGGGUGCCUGGGUGGCUCAGUCAGUUAAGUGUCUGACUUCAACUCAGGUCAUGAUCUCAUGGAUCAUGAGUUCAAGCCCUGCAUCGGGCUCUGUGCUGAAAGCUCAGAGCCUGGAGCCUGCUUCAGAUUCUGUGUCUCCCUCUCUCUCUGCCCCUCCCCUGCUCACACUCUGUCUCUCUCUCUCUCUCUCAAAAUUGAACAUUAAAAAAUUAUUUAAAGGUUAAAAGUGUUCAAGCAAGUUUCCUCAAUUACUUCUUGAAUCAUAAAAGUUGAAAGAAAUGCAUCACAAUAUAAAUAAUAUUAGAAAACCUUUAAAAUAGGAAGAUUAAAUGGAUAUGCUUGGGCAUCUGUGAUUUUUAGUUAUCUCAGCUGAAUAGUUUAUACUAAAAAAGAAAAAUGAGUAGAUAACUAUAAUAGGAGACAACAUGAGACAUAAGAAAGAUAAACAUUCAAUUAUAUAAACUGAAAAAUACAGUAAAAUGGUUAAGCACAGGGCUCUGCAGUCAGAUCUCAAAGCAAAUUUUCAUUCUGCUACUUAGUACUAUUUAAUCCUUAUGUUCCUCAGUGUCUUCAUUUUUAAUAUAAAAAGAUAAUGGUACCUACCUUGUUAUAUCUUUAUGAGGAUUAAGAAGGAUAAGACAUAAAGCAUGUUUGAUGGAGCAAAUACUAAACAAGUUCCAGCUUUUUUACCCUUAUCAUCAGCAUUAUCAAAAGAAUUCAGAGGAGGAAGCCAUGGCUUUUGGCUGGUACCAAAAAGAGGAAAAAAAGAAAAGAAAAAAAGGAUGCAGGAACAAAACAUGUAAGGUACGUCAUGAAUGAGAUGUACAAUUUUGACUUUUUGGAGUUAAAUGGGAAUUGGAGAGAAACCUUUCCAUAAAUUUCUUGUAUGACAAUCCUAGGUCUGCCAUAACAAAUUACCACAAAUUGAUCGCCUUAACAAAACAGAAAUCCAUUCUCUCCCAGUCCUUGAGUCCAAAAGAUCUUAAUCGUGUUGGCAAGGUGGGUUCCUCUGGAGGCUCUGGGGAAAACAUAUUGCAUGCCACUCUUAGCCUCCAAUGGCUGUGAGAAAUCCUUAGCAUUCCUUGGUUUAUAGACACAACACUCCCAUUUUCUCCAUCUUCAUGUGACCUUCUCUGUGUUUCUGAAUGUCUUCUAUUUUCCAUCUCUCAUUCAUAAGAACACAAGGACAUUGUCACCGGAUAUAAGGCCCACAUGACCAAGACAGCCUUAACUUUCCCCUCAGCUUGACUAAACCUUAGACAAGGCUUCUUACUGACCCUGGGUCCCUGACCAUACCUUUAAAAUACAAUCAAUCAAGAAAGAUAGUGCCCCUGUCCUCCAGUAUCUGUGAUAGGGUAGGAGCUUAACCUAGAAAUUGACAAUUAGCAAGCACAGAUGACCUCAUCACAUUGCCCCCCAACCCCCCCACCCCCGCUCCUCUAACAUCCUCCAGUACUUUUCCACUACCUCACUUCAGCACUAAAAAUCCUCCUGUCUUUUGUUUCAAGGGAGUCUAAUUCAAUCUCUCUUCUAUAUUGCAAGACUUGAAUAAAGUCUUCUUUGUCUGUUUAAUUUCCAGUGCAAUUUUUGACACAUCCUAAUUCAAGAUGACCUCAUCUUUAUCUUUAGUAAGGGAUCUUUAUCUUAGUUACCCAAAUAAAGUCACAUUGACAAGUAUGGAGUCUCGAAACUUAGACAUAUCUUUUGGAGGACACAAUUCAACCCACUACAAGUAACAAAGCAGAAGUACAGACAGGGAUGAAGGAAUCAAAGGACUCAUAUGAGAAGUACUUGGACUCAGAAGGAUGGAACCUAAAAUACACUUACGGGAACAGUGGGUGACUCAUUUAUUCACUCAUUCAUUCAUAUGUUCCACAUUUAUUGUGAGAGGCAAGUUAUUGUAAGGACUGGAAGAAAAAACAUUUUUUUUAAACUUGCAUACCAUGCUCUAGAAAUUCGAAGUUCAGAUGGGUUGCAGACAUGUAAACAGAAAUCUACAGUACACUGAAAAAAAAAAAAACUUCUAUAAAAUAGUAAAAUAGGGUUUUGUGGAGUACAGAGGUAGGAGGUAAGAGAAGAUUUCCUGAAUGAAUUAUGCAUGGUUGUCCCACUAGUAUGUUUAUGGACUGAGUAAAAGACACAUUUAGGACAUGUUCAGUUUUUUUAAUAUGUCAAAGAUGGGAAAUGUUCAGAGAUAUUUGCCAAAAUAGACAAAAAGAAAAAAUAAGGGAUAACACAGUUUUUUAAACAAAAUUGUGGUUUCUCGGGUUCCCAAGAUUUUCUGAGGAUAUACAAGUAUGGAGUGAACAUCCCAUCAUACAGGAGGUAUUCCCCAGAAACAUGUGGCAUGCCCAUGUCUCAGGCUUCUGUAAUCCUGCAUUUCACACUCUGACCUAUGAUUCAGUGUUGAAGUAUCAACUUAGCAGUUUUCUGUCAUCUGUAAAAAUGUCAAGAUUAAAAAAAAAAAAACAUAAAGGUUGAGGAAUGGUUCGAAACCAAAUGAGACAAGAGAGACAUGACAAUCAAAUGCAAUGUGUGAUUCUGGACUACAUCCUGGAGCGUGGGGGAAAAAAAUUGCUAUAGAAGAACUUUCAAAAAAAAUUGGACACAUUUGAAUAUGGACUGUGAAUUAUAGAUUCACUCAUCAGUGCAUUGUUGGUAAAAGCAAGAUGGGAUGUCAUGUACAACAUGGUGACUAUUGAUAACACUGCUAUGUAACACAUAGGAAAGUCAUUGGGCAAGUAUUCCCUAAGAGUUCUCAGCACCAGGGGAAAUUUUUUCUUUCUUCUUUUCUCCUUUCUGUUUACUUUAUCUAUAUGAGAAGAUGGAUGUUAACUGAGCCUAUUGUGGUAAUCAUGUCACAAAAUAUGUGAAUCAAACUACUGUGUUGUAUGUGUAAGUUUAAGACAGUGAUGUAUAAGUUUAAGACAUCCAAUUCGUCAUUAAAAAACCUGGCAGGGGGCGGGGGGAUACAAUAGGCUCUUGCAGAGCCAGACUUGGGUGGGACAGCACCACUUCCAAUCUGAAACAGCUAUAGAAAGAUCAGU